RNAcentral lists this non-coding RNA (92 nucleotides) under Fructilactobacillus lindneri. RNAcentral's name for it is "Lactobacillus lindneri TPP sequence". It matches the Rfam family "TPP riboswitch aptamer (THI element)". Rfam says of the family: Vitamin B(1) in its active form thiamin pyrophosphate (TPP) is an essential coenzyme that is synthesised by coupling of pyrimidine and thiazole moieties in bacteria. The previously detected thiamin-regulatory element, thi box was extended, resulting in a new, highly conserved RNA secondary structure, the THI element, which is widely distributed in eubacteria and also occurs in some archaea. The record is from RNAcentral. Lineage: Bacteria; Bacillati; Bacillota; Bacilli; Lactobacillales; Lactobacillaceae. RNAcentral also lists the same sequence under 1 other name.
AUUAAAUAGCUGGGGUGCCAAUAACGGCUGAGAUUAUACCCGUUGAACCUGAUCUAGGUAAUGCUAGCGUAGGUAAUAAAGUGACAUUCAGU